GAGUUUGAUCCUGGCUCAGAACGAACGCUGGCGGCGUGGAUAAGACAUGCAAGUCGAACGCGAUUUUCUCGGUUAGCAAUAACUGAGGAGAUUGAGUGGCGAAUGGGUGCGUAACACGUGGGAAUUUAUCCGGAAGUGGGGGAUAGCUCGUCGAAAGGCGAAUUAAUACCGCAUAUGCCUGUAAGGGCAAAGUGGGGGACCGUAAGGCCUCACGCUAUCGGAGGAGCCCGCGCCCUAUCAGCUAGUUGGUGAGGUAAUGGCUCACCAAGGCUUAGACGGGUAGCUGGUCUGAGAGGACGACCAGCCACACUGGAACUGAGACACGGUCCAGACACCUACGGGUGGCAGCAGUCGAGGAUUUUUCUCAAUGGGGGCAACCCUGAAGGAGCGACGCCGCGUGGAGGAUGAAGGGCUUCGGCUCGUAAACUCCUGUCACCGACGAACAAGACAUCCGGAUUAAUAACUCGGAUGUUUGAUGGUAGUCGGAGAGGAAGGGGCGGCUAACUCUGUGCCAGCAGCCGCGGUGAUACAGAGGCCCCAAGCGUUGUUCGGAUUUACUGGGCGUAAAGGGUGUGUAGGGGGUUAGGUUAGUCUGACGUGAAAUACCGUUGCUCAACAACGGAACUGCGUCGGAUACUGCCUAGCUAGAGGUUCGGAGAUGAGGGCGGAAUUCUCGGGUGUAGCGGUGAAAUGCGUAGAUAUCGAGAAGAACACCAGUGGCGAAAGCGCUCUGCUGGGCCAUAACUGACGCUCAUGGACGAAAGCCAGGGGAGCGAAAGGGAUUAGAUACCCCGGUAGUCCUGGCAGUAAACGGUGCUCAUUAGAUGUAGGCGGAUUCGACCCCGCCUGUGUCGAACCUAACGGAUUAAAUGAGCCGCCUGGGAAGUACGGUCGCAAGAUUAAAACUCAAAGAAAUUGACGGGGGCCCGCACAAGCGGUGGAGUAUGUGGCUUAAUUCGAUGCAACGCGAAGAACCUUACCUGGCCUUGACAUGCUUAGUUCAGGCGUAGAAACACGCCGGCCCGCAAGGGCGAUUUGCACAGGUGCUGCAUGGCUGUCGUCAGCUCGUGUCGUGAGAUGUUGGGUUAAGUCCCGCAACGAGCGCAACCCAA
Molecule: ribosomal RNA, 1112 nt
Filed under: uncultured bacterium
Lineage: Bacteria
Description: bacterial SSU rRNA
Rfam family: Bacterial small subunit ribosomal RNA
Source: RNAcentral